AAUUUAUAUACAAUAAGCGGAGGAAAAGAAACCAACAGGGAUUACCUCAGUAACGGCGAGUGAAGCGGUAACAGCUCAAAUUUGAAAUCUGGCUCUUUCAGGGUCCGAGUUGUAAUUUGUAGAAGAUGCUUCGGGUGUGGCUCCGGUCUAAGUUCCUUGGAACAGGACGUCAUAGAGGGUGAGAAUCCCGUAUGUGACUGGUUGCCUUCGCCCAUGUGAAGCUCUUUCGACGAGUCGAGUUGUUUGGGAAUGCAGCUCUAAAUGGGUGGUAAAUUUCAUCUAAAGCUAAAUAUUGGCCAGAGACCGAUAGCGCACAAGUAGAGUGAUCGAAAGAUGAAAAGCACUUUGGAAAGAGAGUUAAACAGUACGUGAAAUUGUUGAAAGGGAAGCGCUUGCAACCAGACUUGCACCCCGUCGAUCAUCCUCCGUUCUCGGGGGUGCACUCGGCGGGGUUCAGGCCAGCAUCGGUUUCGGUGGUGGGAUAAAGGCCUUGGGAACGUAGCUCCUCUCGGGGAGUGUUAUAGCCCUCGGUGCAAUGCCGCCUACCGGGACCGAGGACCGCGCUUCGGCUAGGAUGCUGGCGUAAUGGUUGUAAGCGACCCGUCUUGAAACACGGACCAAGGAGUCUAACAUCUAUGCGAGUGUUUGGGUGUUAAACCCAUACGCGUAAUGAAAGUGAACGGAGGUGAGAACCCUUUAGGGUGCAUCAUCGACCGAUCCUGAUGUCUUCGGAUGGAUUUGAGUAAGAGCAUAGCUGUUGGGACCCGAAAGAUGGUGAACUAUGCCUAAAUAGGGUGAAGCCAGAGGAAACUCUGGUGGAGGCUCGCAGCGGUUCUGACGUGCAAAUCGAUCGUCAAAUUUGGGUAUAGGGGCGAAAGACAAUCGAACCU
RNAcentral lists this ribosomal RNA (890 nucleotides) under Cyathicula cyathoidea. Its description in RNAcentral is "Crocicreas cyathoideum partial large subunit ribosomal RNA". It matches the Rfam family "Eukaryotic large subunit ribosomal RNA", at positions 31 to 942 of the family's 3401-position model. Lineage: Eukaryota; Fungi; Ascomycota; Leotiomycetes; Helotiales; Helotiaceae. The record is from RNAcentral.